Long non-coding RNA from Anguilla anguilla (European eel), 456 nucleotides. RefSeq lists it as uncharacterized. Lineage: Eukaryota; Metazoa; Chordata; Actinopteri; Anguilliformes; Anguillidae. The transcript has 2 exons. The record is from RefSeq and is a predicted model, not a curated record.
AGAUGGAGUCCUUUACUUUGCUAAAGAGUAUAAUGGCAGUGCAUCAUCUCAGAUUUUACCUGUAAUCCCAUUGUUCCGAUCCAGUUCCAGAAUCACUUACUCUGAUAUCCUGAAAUUACUUGUUAAUUGACUUACGGAAAUUGGGGAUCUGAUUUGGGUCCCUAAGCUUGUCGAUUUUACCAACAACCAAAGAAAUUGUCCUGACAGAGUAAAUGUAGUUAAUGAGUUCCCCAGGUUCAUUUCCAUGGCAAUCACACAGAGCAAGAUGUACAAAAGGAGAGUGAAUGCUCCUCUACUGUAAACAUGAAACCAGGCUGGACAAACUGGAGAAAACGUUUUUUAACCUUAUUCUCUGCUAAGGUGAUUGUGAACAGUGGGUUGCCUUAGGUCGUGCGCGAACGUCAGAGUCGGACAGGAAUGGUUCAACUAAACAAUCGACUGACCACCUAAAGGGAG